Molecule: ribosomal RNA, 445 nt
Filed under: uncultured bacterium
Lineage: Bacteria
Description: bacterial SSU rRNA
Rfam family: Bacterial small subunit ribosomal RNA
Source: RNAcentral
CCAGACUCCUACGGGAGGCAGCAGUGGGGGAUAUUGCACAAUGGGGGAAACCCUGAUGCAGCGACGCCGCGUGGGUGAAGAAGUAUUUCGGUAUGUAAAGCCCUAUCAGCAGGGAAGAAAGAAGACGGUACCUGACUAAGAAGCCCCGGCUAACUACGUGCCAGCAGCCGCGGUAAUACGUAGGGGGCGAGCGUUAUCCGGAUUCACUGGGUGUAAAGGGAGCGUAGACGGCCGUGCAAGCCAGGAGUGAAAGCCCGGGGCCCAACCCCGGGACUGCUCUUGGAACUGUGCGGCUGGAGUGCGGGAGGGGCAGGCGGAAUUCCUGGUGUAGCGGUGAAAUGCGUAGAUAUUAGGAGGAACACCGGUGGCGAAGGCGGCUUACUGGACUGUAACUGACGUUGAGGCUCGAAAGCGUGGGGAGCAAACAGGAUUAGAUACCCCAGUA